RNAcentral lists this ribosomal RNA (253 nucleotides) under uncultured bacterium. RNAcentral describes it as "partial 16S ribosomal RNA". It matches the Rfam family "Bacterial small subunit ribosomal RNA", at positions 524 to 776 of the family's 1533-position model. The record is from RNAcentral.
UACGUAGGGUGCAAGCGUUAUCCGGAAUUAUUGGGCGUAAAGAGCUCGUAGGCGGUUUGUCGCGUCUGCUGUGAAAACCGGAGGCUCAACCUCCGGCCUGCAGUGGGUACGGGCAAACUAGAGUGCGGUAGGGGAGAUUGGAAUUCCUGGUGUAGCGGUGGAAUGCGCAGAUAUCAGGAGGAACACCGAUGGCGAAGGCAGAUCUCUGGGCCGUAACUGACGCUGAGGCGCGAAAGCGUGGGGAGCAAACAGG